Molecule: long non-coding RNA, 490 nt
Organism: Saccostrea echinata
Lineage: Eukaryota; Metazoa; Mollusca; Bivalvia; Ostreida; Ostreidae
Exons: 3
Source: RefSeq, a predicted model, not a curated record
UCCUUGUAAUUUUGGUUUAAGUUUUGAUCUCCAAGAUUUUAACAAUACAAUCAACUAUUCUAUAUGGACAAAUACAUGUACAACGCCGAGUUCAGAGAAGUCCCGCUUCAAUGAAAUCUGGUAGAAGUCCUAAGCUACACCACGAUGUAGUGUGUUCUGGUUGUAAAGAUUUGAACAAGACGAGUUCAGCGAUAGUUCCAAAAGGUUCUUUGCAGCAAUCUCGUAAACAUGCAAAACCACCAGACGAUGCACUGUGUGCUGCAUGCAAGAUAAUGAACGGGAGGAAAUCACCAAGAUGUGAUCUUUUAUGUUUAAGAGGUGAUAGUCUUAUUUAAUUUCUUCAAUCUGUAGCUUGUGAACUCAUGUGUAUUUAAUGCUGUUCGUAAAUACGGUAUCAUUACAUACGAGCCCUAAAAUUCCUUUGUGCAUUUGAAGUUUUCAGAAUCUUUCAUACUUGUUAUACGUAUACUACACAUGCCUGCAAAUAAAA